This is a long non-coding RNA of Bufo gargarizans (Asiatic toad), 1064 nucleotides long. RefSeq lists it as uncharacterized. The transcript has 3 exons. The record is from RefSeq and is a predicted model, not a curated record. Lineage: Eukaryota; Metazoa; Chordata; Amphibia; Anura; Bufonidae.
CGUUUUUUGAGGAACUUAAACAAGGCAUAUAUAGUAAUUACAUUCUAAAAUGUUCAUUUUACAGCCCCAUUGACUUGAAUGAAGCCACGGAACAUGAUUUGCAAUAAUAUGACCUGUUCUACCUUUGAACUGAAAAACGGAAACUGAAUGCAUACGGCAUACAUUCUGUUUUUUUGCAGACCCAUCGAAAUGAAUGUUUCCAUAUAUGGGAUUGAAAAAGCUUUCUGCAAAACGGAAACAAAAAACUUUUGUGUGCAGGAGGCCUAACUGUAUAAAACAUGAAUCCAUAUCAUGGACGCACUUCACCCCAAGUCCUGUGAGAACAGGGUUUGAGCUCAAAUGAUGCUGCAGAGGAGCCUCUAAUCACUGAGAAAUGUCCGCCUUCCAGUGUACGAGAAAACUAAAGUAUCGGCUCCAAUUUUCUAUUAAUCAAGUUAUCUGAAAUGUUCCCAUCAAAGUAUACAUUCAGAUUGCAAGACUCUGGCGGUAACCUGUGAUUUCACCAUCAUCAUGGUCAAAGGAAAGCUCAGCAUGUUUUCCCAUCAGUUUUCCUUCAGGUAAUUGGAAAGAAACUAGAGUGAAGAACUUUAAUCAGUUCACUCAGGGAACAGUUCUUGUAGCCAUCUAGGCAGAAGUCUACUAGAAAGCAACUGGGGUUCCAUUUGUCAUUCCAGGACUUGAACAUUCUCAGUGCCUCCACUAUACUCUGUGAAUUUUCAGAUAGGGUGACAAAGGCACCCACAACAACAUAGCAGACAUUGGUUCUCACACAGAGGAAAUAAAGAGGCAAUGCAUAUCUUGUUGUUCGGUAGGUUGCAUCCAACAGAGUAAUUUGAUUACCAUAGAUCAGUAACAGUCUUUUUUGCCAGUUUGUCUGAUUAAAAUAAAAAGGCUUCCUCUUUUUUCUUAUCAUCUUCUGUGGACAUGCUAGGCCGACAAUAAACAUCAACCUUAUUACUUCCUUUUUUCCAUUCCUGUAUGAGUAGUAGUAGAUUUGAUUGGUCUAUGGCAGAGUUCCGAGUCAUACUCUUUGCUUUAGCCAUGAUAUUGCAUAUGUCUUUUCU